Molecule: long non-coding RNA, 224 nt
Filed under: Eucalyptus grandis
Lineage: Eukaryota; Viridiplantae; Streptophyta; Magnoliopsida; Myrtales; Myrtaceae
Description: long non-coding RNA (EGRA_LNC005446)
Source: RNAcentral
UAAGGAAAUUACAUACUCGAGUCACUCAAACACUCUCUCGGUGUUUCUCAAGCCCUAAUUACACCCAACAACGUACGCAGUGUUUAACCCUGAAAUUCCUCAAGAAAUAAUCUCUCAAUCUCACGAAAGAAUUACAUGCAAAUCUUACCACAAAAUUUAAUUGGCUUGAACACUAAAUCUUCUUGGAUGUAAUUCAUGAACAAAAAUGACAAAAAAAAAAAAAU